Molecule: ribosomal RNA, 346 nt
Filed under: uncultured eukaryote
Lineage: Eukaryota
Description: SSU rRNA
Rfam family: Eukaryotic small subunit ribosomal RNA
Source: RNAcentral
AUAGCGUAUAUUAAAGUUGUUGCAGUUAAAAAGCUCGUAGUUGAACUUCAGACCCGGCCGGGCGGUCUGCCUAACGGUAUGUACUGUCUGGCUGGGCCUUACCUCUUGGUGAGCCGGCAUGCCCUUCACUGGGUGUGUCGGGGAACCAGGACUUUUACCUUGAGAAAAUUAGAGUGUUCAAAGCAGGCCUAUGCCUGAAUACAUUAGCAUGGAAUAAUAAAAUAGGACGUGCGGUUCUAUUUUGUUGGUUUCUAGAGUCGCCGUAAUGAUUAAUAGGGAUAGUUGGGGGCAUUGGUAUUGAGUCGCUAGAGGUGAAAUUCUUGGAUUGACUCAAGACCAACUAUUG